UUCAGACCGGGAACACCUCAAGAACCCUUGAGAAGGAGAGCUCCCAACCGUCACCCUCACAAAGAGACUCAUCACCGCUGUUCUUCUUCUUCAACCAUGCAUCAGGUGCUCGCCGGCCAUACACACACACGCAUCCAAACGACCACCCUUAUCUCCUCCAUCCUAAAGCAGAAUAAACAUACACACACACCCCCAUUCCAGUGGAGACCCUUGAUCUCUCACACAAAAAAGAACCAACAAUCUCUGCUACAGUCUCCCACCCUUAUCUCCAGCCAUCAAACCCGUCGGAAAUCUUAAAGAGCAGGGGCACCUUCAAUCUCCAAAUAAAAAAAAAGAAAAGGGCUCGCCUGAAAAGGGACUUCACACACGCACACAUAGAAACACACGAAAAUACAUGCACACACACAAACUAAAGACGGGAAAGUUAAAAAUUUGAUAGAGAAACUGAAGUUUGUUCAAUUGUUAUCCGCCGAGAUUUCCGGGAAGAUUCGUGGCUCAGGUUUGUGAUUUUGAUGGUUUGAUCCUAUUGUAAAGUUCGGGCUUCUUAAACUUUUCAAUUUCAAACGAAAGUUGCUCCAUUGGAGGUGUAUUUCUUCCCUUAAUCUUCAUUUUCUUGAUACUAUGUGAUUCUUAAUGCGAUGUUAGUCUGUUUGGGUUUAUUUUGAUUUUUGUUUCUCCACUUUCCCUGAUUCGUUUGGUAUUUGGAUAGCUUUUGUUCUUUACUACUUAGAUUUUAUGGUUCAGAAUGGCAUUUAGGUGAUCAUCGCUGAAUUGCUUGUCUUAAUUAAAUCUUAAGAUUCUCUUUAAAGGGUAAAUUGAUUGAUUUGUCUAAUUGGGUCACGGGAGGUGACAUACACAUGUAAACAAAUUAAACUUUAAAUAUUUUAUUGCUUUUAAUUUAUUUUAUCGCUUUCUUCGCUAGUAAAAAAUGAUUAGUCCAUAACACUUGGGUAGGCAAACGUUAGUAUUUUGUUAGUUUUGAGGCGAGAGCUAGUUCCCUUAGUUGAAUUUAUCCAAGAAAUGCCCAAAGGAUUUGUAUAUAUUUUAUUAUGGGAAAUGCCCCAUAGUAUUUUGUAAUUGGAGGCCGAAAGAGAACUCAUAGUACUUUUGUUCUUAUUUUAUUAUUCUUUUUGCUAUCUUCUUUAAUUAGGCCGGAACGAUCUUGAGCCUCUUUUGAUUGUUUAUUUUCUUUUCGUGUGUUUUUUCCUCAAUUGGAAUAUUUUAAAAACCAACUAGAUCGAGUACGCAGCUGUACUAGUUAUGGGACUUGGGGAGUGCCUCUCAUCUUCACCCCGAGUCAAAUGAACCCCCUUACCCGAAUCCCUGGUGCAGACUUUGUUUGGAGUCCAAAGUGUUUUUAAAGGAAAAAUUAUUUUUAAAAACGGUGACCUGGCACACUAAAACCAAUGCAUGUGGUGACUCUAAGUUAUUUCCUUUUGAACAUAAUUCUUUGUCAAUUUCAAAAUUGAAAAUCCUUGUGAUCUUCACAAAAUCCUUUUAUAAUGGAGGUCAAAGGACAGAACCUAAGUAGUCUUGGCUUUUAGUCGACUAAAAAUAGGGUUCAAAGAACUUAGGUGACAGGUGAAAGAAAGGAACAAAAUUGAGAAAUAGGAGAUGAAGGGUUUUAACAGACACAAACAAAUUGAACAUACUAAGCAAACAUUUGAUUAAAUAACAAAACUAAGAACAAUCUUAAUGCGAACUGAGAAAAUAGGUUCGACACAUAGCAUAGAAGCAGCCACCUACUAAAAUGUUAAGGAAAGAAUAUGUUUGAAGGAUUGACAAGGAUUAUGAUACACAUAUGCACAUUACUAGACAAGUUGAAACAUGGUUGAAAAUUAUGCUAAGCAUAUAAGAAACAAGUAACAUGGUAAUAAACCAAGUAAUCACAGAAAGAGCUGGGCAUCAUGUUAGCAAAGGGGAAGGAUCAACGACACACAAUAUAUGCCAGAACAUUUCUAUUGUGUAACGACCCGACCUGUCAUUUUGAGCUCUUGCACUUGAUCAGUAGUUCUCAGACAUGACUUGCCCCGUGUAAUGUGCUAUGACUGAUGUAGAUUGUUGGUUUGGUUUUCACGAAAAUUGUUAUGAAUUUGAAAGAACAGUCUCAAUUGAAAGCUUUAAAUUUAAAGGGUUUGACCAAGAGUUGAAUUAUUUGUAUAUGAGCUUGGAUAGGCGUUUUUAUGGUUUGGUUAGAUUUUUUAGGUGAUUUAUGACUUAAGAGUGUGAUCGGAAUUGGUUUUGGAGGUCCAGUGAAGAAUUAGAGUUGAAUUAGCAAAGUUAGUAUUUUGGCGAUAUCCGGUUGAUAAGUGAGAUUUUGAUCCAAAGGUCAAAAUGGAAUUUUGAAAGUUGUUUUAGCUUCAUUGUGUCAUUUGGGAUAUGUAUGCAAAAUUUUAGGUCAUUUGGAUGUGGUUUGGUCAGAUUUCUGAUCGAAAUCGUGUUUCGAAAGUUUUUAGAAUCCUUAGGCUUGAAUCGAUAUGAAUUGGUGAAUUUGAUGUAGUUUGAGGUGUUUUGAUGAUUGAAGCAAGUUAGAAUGAGAUUUUAGAAUGUGUUGGUGGUUUUGGUUGAGGUCCCGGGGGCAUCAUCUGAGUUUUAGGUGGUCAAUCAGACCAUUUUUUAAGUUGAAAAGUUGCAGAUUUUUGGAGUUCAGGUGUUGCAUAAAAUAAUCCUUCGCAUUCACGAGGGGUAUGUUGCGUUCUCAUAGGAGGAAUUUGGAAGGCAGAAGAUAAGCCUUCGAGUUUUUGUUUAAGCAUCGCGUUCGCAUAAGGCUGUGAGAUGGUUCUUCGUGUUCGCAUAUAAAGAUUUGUGGUUCAGAGGUCGUUGCUCUCCGCGUUCGCAGCUGAGGGCUCGUAUUCACAUAGGGUAAUUUUUGGAAAUUAAAGAUGUGCUUCGUGUUCGCGAAGCAAUGGUCGCGAAAGCGUUGAAGGAAUUUCAAUGCUGGGUAGAAUGUUAUAGUUUCAUUUCAUCCGAAAUUUCGGGUCAUUUUUCUUCCAUGGUUGAUCAUUUUGAGAGCUUCUUGGUGGAGAUUAAAGAGGGAUUCAAGGGGAAGCGACUUGAGGUAAGAAUUUGGGUCUUGAAACUUGAUUAUAUUGUGUAAUCCACCUACAAAUUGAUGGAACGUAAGCUAAAAAUGAAAGAAACUGGGGCUUGUGAUUUUGAAAUUUUAUUUAAGGAUUGUAAGGACCACUUAAGGUUGAAUUUAAGAACUUUUGGUAUGUAGGAACUAGUGAGGAGAUAAGGAAUCUAAUUAUGUGAAAAUUUCCGAGUUUUGGGAAGUGUGCAUUAGGCUCAGAUUUUGGUAAUUUCGGGAUUUGUGCCUAUUAUUGAUUGUUUUUUUUUGGGCUUUGUUCCUUGAGCAUAUUGUGAUGUAUUCGCUAUGAUUUUGGAUAGAUUCGACGCUCGUGAAGGCUGAUUUGAGGAGCAAAUGUGUCACGAGCUAGAGAUUUUGCUAGUUCGAGGUAAGUAAUGAUUAUAAAUGACAUUAUGAGGGUACCCUUGAUUGCACAUCGUAGUACUAUAUUGAGGUGACAUGCACUCUGGAUAGUGAGCGUGGGGGUAGAGUACCGUUGGGGAUUGCAACUUGGUCCGUCUUGAUUGAUGAUUUUAUUGUGUAUUUGACUGAAACUUACUUGUUAUCAUCAUGAUUUGGGCUGAUUUCCAUAUUUGGUCUUCGUGCCAACUAUUUGACCCCUUCAGGGACUAUUAUCACUAUUUCCUCAUAUUUUAGACUUAUUACUUGAACUCAGUCAUGUUGAUAUCUACUGUUUUACAACUUAGCCACUUUUACUCAGUUUUGAGACUUAAAUGAUAUGUUUAAAAUGAUGUUUUGUGCUAAGAACUACUAUUUUACAAAUGCCUGAGGGGCUUGUGAUGAUUUUAUCUGACUGAGUGAGGGCGAGGGCCUAUGUUGUGAGGAUACUAUGGGAUGGGGCUACGCGUCACAAAAGAGUUAAAAUGGUACCAAUUUGAGGUCGAGGGCCUGGAUUUAAUGCCACGAGAUGGCUGGAUAUUGUUCUUGGGCUGAAAGGGGCCCCUCCCGGAGUCUGCACAUCCCUGAUAAGCACCGUCUAUGAAAUAUAUAGAUCAGGCUUCACGCCGCAGCAAUAUAUGGAUCGGGCUACAUGCCGCAGCGAUGUAUGGAUCCGGCUGCAUGCUUCAGCGGUUACUAUAUGAUAUUGAUCUAUGUGUUUACUUGCUUCAUUUGUCUGCCGUUAUCUGUUAUCUGAGUUUUUUCACGUGGUAUCUACCCGAUUGUCUGGCAUUAUCUGUUGAGUGAGUGUUGUGCCCAAGGGACGGAGUUCUGUUCUUAUCUACACUAUUUGUUUUGCAUUCAUUUGCAUAACUGGUGAAAAAGACAUUUUCAAAAGAGUCUUAACUGAGCUAAGGCAUUUUCUAAGAUUUCACAGCUUCAUUGUUUUUCUCAAAAAGGUUUUACACUACUCUAUACAGCAUGAUGGUUUGCCUUACGUGAAUUCUUACUGCUUAGUUAUUAUUUAUCUUUAUUACUCACUGAGUAGGAGUACUCACUUUACUCCCCACAGCUCGUGUGUAGAUGCAGGUAUUUAUUCACCCGGUAGCGGGUUUUGAGCUGAUCGGAGGCUAAGUUAUCGGAGUUUAGCAAGGUGACUGCCACCACUAGCAGCAGCGCAUUUCUUCCUUUUGUUUAUCUAUCCUUUUUUAAAUAUUUCAGGC
Molecule: long non-coding RNA, 4692 nt
Filed under: Nicotiana benthamiana
Lineage: Eukaryota; Viridiplantae; Streptophyta; Magnoliopsida; Solanales; Solanaceae
Description: long non-coding RNA (NBEN_LNC036387)
Source: RNAcentral